This is a long non-coding RNA of Oryctolagus cuniculus (rabbit), 6414 nucleotides long. RefSeq lists it as uncharacterized. The record is from RefSeq and is a predicted model, not a curated record. NCBI's taxonomy places the organism in Eukaryota, Metazoa, Chordata, Mammalia, Lagomorpha, Leporidae.
GGCCCAGAGGGCGCGUAGAGCCCACGACGGGCGCCCACUGGGAGAGGCGGGGAAAUGUCACUCCCAGCAGGCUCUGCGCGAGGCUGGGCGAGGGCCGUGGGCUGAGGCGUGGUGUCCGGGAGUGGCGGCCUGCCGGUCGGCAUGCUGUCCCCCGCCCCGCGGCGCCGCUGGCUUUGCCGCGUGGACUCGGAGCGCUCCCGCGAGGGCAGCGAGCACGCGCCGGCCGCUCUUUCCUCAGAACAGCCCGACACGGGGCUCGGUGACCGAGUGACGGCGGAGCUGCCAAGACCCGCGCAGGGAACCGGAGGCCAGUCGGGGCCUAGUGGAGCUAACAUGCGAGGGACGAACAGGCGUCUGUGGACGCGAGCGCGCGGCGACCGCAGCCGCGUUGCCCAAGGUCGUACCCUGGGGCAGUCCGCAUCCCAUGACCGGGGGCAGGCCUGUAGGGCCGCUGGGACCACGUGGGAAGCAGUACUUGCUCGCGGUUCCCCAGGGACCGGCCAGAGCUUUCCCGGCCUGCGUAGUCCUCUGCUUCCUCCGCCAGAUCCUGUUUACUGUUCACGGGUGUUGAUACCAGAUAAACUUCUUGUAGCCCAAACUCCACCUCAGCGUCUGCCUCAGGGAAAACCAUCCUGCCACAGUGUACCAGUCCAGAGAUCUUGAUCACUUAAGACAACCUGGAUGGGGCCGGCGCCGUGCUCAUUUGGCUAAUCCUCCACCUGUGGCGCCAGAAUCCCAUAUGGGCACCGGGUUCCAGUCCUGGUUUCUCCUCUUCCAGUCCAGCUAUCUGCUGUGGCCCGGGAAAGCAGUGGAGGAUGGCCCAAGUGCUUGGGCGCCUGCACCCGCGUGGGAGAACAAGAGGGGGCACCUGGCUCCUGGCUUCGGAUCGGCAUAGCUCCGGCCAUGGCAGCCAUUUGGGGGGGUGAACCAACAGAAGGAAGACCUUUCUCUCUGUCUCUCUCUCUGUCUGUAACUCUAUCUGUCAAAUAAAUAAAAAGACAACCUGGAGAAUAACACGUUAUUCCUUUCCAUCAGUGAGCAAGAGGUAGAGAAGACGCUGGUGAUAAUACUGGUGAUACACAUAUAGCUGCUCCAGAGUAGGAGAUAAACCACAGAAAUUCAAGGGCUUGCUGCAUCCUAAUAUUUUUAGAGGUUCAGUGAUCAAGUGUGCUCUAGGAAAUCCCUUCCAAAAGUAAAAGAAUUGUAUCUUGAACCUCCUACCAUUAAGAAAGCAAUAGUUCCUGAGCUGGUUCUUGCUACAAGUGCUGGAAGCAACAUAUUCCACACCUGGAAAUACUGUUCUGGCCCCAAUACUGGGGGAUCUGGGAGACUGUCAGAUCUAAAAAGAGCCCAGACAGGAAAAAUCUCAGCAGUACUUCCAGACUGUGAUGCCAGCUGUCCUACUGCCUGGGCCACAUGGCCUAGUAGUUAUGAGAACGGCAGGGAAUAAUGCAAUGUGGGGUUUCAGGCAGGUUUCAAGGGGGAGAUUUACAAGGUACGUUGUCAGGACUUCCGAAACAAUAGGAUCUUUCAGAGAGAGAGACAGAGAGAGAAAGGUCUUCCUUUGCCGUUGGUUCACCCUCCAAUGGCCGCCAUGGCCGGCACGCUGCGGCCGGUGCACUGCGCUGAUCCAAAGGCAGGAGCCAGGUGCUUCUCCUGGUCUCCCAUGGGGUGCAGGGCCCAAGCACUUGGGCCAUCCUCCACUGCACUCCCGGGCCACAGCAGAGAGCUGCCCCUUGUGACCCCCCACCCCAAGUUUGUGCUUGUGAAGUGACUCAUAGUCCCAACCCUUCAGAAUGAGUUGGGACUUGGAGCAGCAGCCCCAAACCUCUGAAGAGGGAAGGGGCUGGAGACAAGAGUUCAGUCAUAUGACCAAUAAUAUGCUCAAUCACAACCAUGUAAUGAAGCCUCAAUAAAAUCUAACACAAUGAGGUUUUGGGAGCUUCAGGGUCAGUGAACACACCGAUGUGCGGGGAGGGUUCCCUCAACACCUGUCCUACACACUGCUUCCAUGUGGCUGUUCCUGAGUUGUAUCCUUUAUAAUAAACCAGUAAUCCCAAGUAUAGCACUUUGAGGCAUUCUAGCAAACUCUCAGAUCCAGUGGCACAAAGAAUGGGUGCCAGGCAGGAAGGGGGGUUGACUACUACAAAUUUGUAAUUGGUUGCACAGAACCGUGGGUAGUCUGGGGUCCUUCCACUUGUGUCUGAUGCUUGAAGUGGGAGUAAUCUUGUGGGACUGAGUACUCAACUCAGAGCAUUAAGAAUUGAAGGACUUUGUCCUUAACUUGUGGAGUCCAUGCUAUCUCUGAGUAGUGCCAGAAUUUAACUGUAAGACACCAAGAUGGUUUUAGAGAAUAUGCUGGGAAACAACAUGAGGCGAGACUCAAGCAGACCAGGCAAAGACCAGCUGUGCUAUCCCCCAGCAUCCAUCCAUUCUUGUCCUAGUGUGAAUGUACUUUUCCUGCCUCAAACUCAUUUGCAGGCUUUCCAAAUUCCUUAUUCUCCAUAACUGCUUCUAACCAGAAAACUCUCACAGCCAAGUGUGACACAGGAUUAUGACCAUGGAGUACCCCAUCACUCAGAAGUAGCUUACCCAAGCAUGUUGGAAAGGCCCACUGAAGGCUGUUAGCCUGCCAGAUUAAUGUACCAUCAGUACGGAAUGCCAUUCCUCUCACAGCCAGAAUCUGCUGGCUUGAGAACCUAAGAGCUAAGAAGGAAUGGCUCCUUCUAUGGUCUGUCCCCUCUAGAACUCAUGGUGGAGAUUAAUCCCCAUCGUAAGGUAUUCAGAGAACUUAACCCAACUGUGGUGUUGAGAGAUGAGGCUUUUCAGAAAGGAUUAGAAUUAGAUAAGUGUAUCCCCCCCAUGACUGAGUCAUGAUGGCUUCAUAAAAAGAGAACACAUUCCCUGUCUCUUGCCAAGUGAUGCCCUGCACCACCUUAGGACGAUGCCAGCAAGAUGGCCACAACCAGAGGCAGUUUCUCAACCCUGGGUCAGAGCCAUGAACCAAAGUAAACCUCCUGGUCCCCCCCACCCCCACCCCAUUUAUCUGAAAGGCAAAGAGAGACACACAGAUUUCUCAUCAGUUGGCUCACUCCCCAAAUGCCAGCAACAGCUGGUGCUAGGACAGAGCAAAGCCAAGAGCUGAGAACUCAAAUCUGGGUCUCCCAUGUGGGUGUCAAGGACUCAAAUACUUGAAGCAUCACUUGCUGCCUCCCAGGCUUUGCAUUAUCAGGAAGCUGGGAACUUGAACCCAGGCUUUCUGAUAUGGGGCACAGAUGUACCAAAUGGUGUCUUAACUGAUAGGUCAAACACCCACCCCUGAAACUCUUCACAACUCACCCAAUCUGUGGCAUAGUCACUGGCAACAGAAAACAGACUAAGACAGCUCUUACUGUUACGUCAAGUAAGUCCUGAAGGAAUUCUUGCUUCCUUUCCUAUUACUUUGUGCUCUGUGGCCCCGUACAAGUAAUGCAUCCAUCAGAUAGGACACAAUGGCCCCCACUGAACUCAUAGUUCAGACUCCUGCCUGAACUAACAAACAGGAAUAGAGUAACUGCACUAGUUAGUGCUGUUGAUGCCAAGUUCCAAGAGGAAAGUGAGCGGCUGGUACAUACUGGGGACAGGAAACUUGUAUCUGUGUCUGGUGUCUUCACUGGGCACCUCUUGGUCCUUACUACUUUCUGCUUUGAUUGUAGAACAAGCAAAAAGGAAGUCCUCUAAAGGCAGGACAUUAAGGCCUCAAAUCUUGCCAGAAGGUGGAUUAGGUCAUCUGACCAGUGAUAUUGCUGGUUUGGGAUCAGAAAACAAGGUUCAGGUGAUGGAAGCAAGAGCCAGUCAAUACCAGUGAGAACCCUGUCACUAGUUCCAUAAAUAAAUACCAGCAUUUUUCAAUUCAGUGUUUGCAUUGAACAAUUUCUUCUUUCCCCUCCUCCCCUGUUUUGUAUGACCCGAGUGGUACAUUAACUUUACUGACUAGUUCAUAGAUGACCAAAUCACCAGGAGCUGACCCAGUCCCAAAGGUAAAGUCUAGCUCCUGGAGAGCCUAGCCUGUUGUGAUGAUGGCAACUUAUGAGCCUUAGAGAAAAGAUCAGAGCAUCUUGGGAACACUGGCUUUGUGGGAGGUAGGUGUGGUCUUCAUAAUGAACAUGGGUAGAAAGGUGAGAACAAACACUGAGAGGAACCAAGGGUAGAUGAGGCUGCUCAUCUGCCUGUGUGCUUUCAAGCUGCUUCUUGCCAGUUCUUCCCCUGAAAAAUAAGGAAGCUGACUUUUGCCAGGAACCUAUCCCCGAGGCUCCUUUCCCUAGUUUUAGGGAAUGGGAUGGCAAAUGGGAAAAGAUGUGCAUUUUGCUCCUUGUCACUCUGCCACAGGCAGCCUCUCUGGUAGCCGAUGCAUUUUCUCUGUGGGUUCAGCUCCCAUCAGAGGGGCACUGGCCUCCUCAAAGGAGUCCCAGCAACAACAUCAUGGUUCCUUCAGUCCCAGGGGACAUCUUGUAGCUGCUGCCACCCAUGGCAAUAGUUUGUGUGCUAUCUCGUGUUGCAGGUCUCCCAGUGUCAGAGGAACUGCUAGAGUCUGAAUGGGCUUUUCUCCUGAACUCAUGCACUUAAACCCCAAAGUUGUGGUUGGCAGUAGGUACUACAAAGAUGGACUUGAUCCAGUUAAGUUAUCCAGGAGGUAGGAAGUCCCUAUGGUCACUGGGGAUAUGCUGUUGAGAGAGGGUUGGUUGUGAACACUGAGGUGAGCCAAGCCUCUUUCUCUGCUUCCUUGCUCACUGGGCAGUUUUUCUCUGCAUGAGCUCGGCCAUUGCCAUCCUCCAGCCUCAUCAGAAGCCAGACCUAUGAGUGAGGCUGCCCAACUGCACACUGGGAGCUGCUGCUUCCUUCAUGAGUAACUUAUCUCAGGUAUUUGUUACAGCGACAAAACACUAACACAGUAAGUAACCAAACCUUUCUGUUGCACCAUCUCAAAUGGUUUCUGUUUUCCAGCCUGGACUCUGACACAAUACUCUGUUUCAUUAAGGCAUUUCAGGGUCAGACAUUAGCUGAUCAUAAUGUACUUUUCAAAUCCAUCAUUUAUAAAAACUUUCCAAUAACCACAUGCUAACUAGAUUUAAUGUUUUUAAAGAUUUUGCCAUAUUAGUCUGUGUAUAUGUAUACAUUUUUACAAAGGUGUCCAUAUAACUUUUUUAACUGAACCAUUUCAAAGCAAGUUGUAUAUGUUUUGGCUCCAUCCUUAAAUCAUUCAGCACAGAAACCUAAGAAAAACAUACCCUCUUACACAACCAUUAUCACAUCCAAGAAAAUUAACUAUAGUUCCUCUAAAAUCUGCUAUCCAGUACAGAUUAUAUUUACCUACUUGUACAUACAAUGUCUUUACAGCAGCUGGCCUUCGUCCAGUUUAGAAACCAAUCAAGUGUGCCCCACACUUCCUGCACCUUGGUCUCCUCUGACCUGGACUAGGCUGUGCACCUUGUUUUUGCUGACACCAUCUAUUGGAUGACGCUGAGCCAGUUACUUGUUGUCACUGGCCCUUCUUUGUUCACCUAUAAACUGGAGGCGAGAGUGAAGGCCUUGGUCAUGCUUGAGGGAAGCACUGGGCAAGAGUGCCCCGCAGGUGCUGCUGCACCUCAUGGACCUCAGCAGGAGGCAGGUUCUGAGCUGCAGUUAGUUUGACACACAGUUAAGAUAUGGAUGGCUAGAUCUCUGCAUUGUAAAACUCAAGAGUCUGAGGCUGGCACCGUAAAGGUAAAGCCGCCAUCUAUGGUGCCAGCAUCCCGUAUGAGCACCAGUAAGAGACCCAGCUACGCCACUUCUGAUCCAGCUCCCUGAUAAUGGCCUGGAAAAACAGUGGAGGAUGGCCCAGGUCCUUGAGCCCCUGCACCCACAUGGGAGACUUGGAGGAAGCUCCUGGCUCCUGGCUUCAGCCUGACCCAGCUCUGGCUGUUUUGGCCAUUUGGGGAGUGAACCAGUGGAUGGAAGAUCUCUCCCUCUCUCUGUGUUUCCUUCUCAGUCUGUAACUCUUUCUCCCCUCCCCUCCCCUCCCCUCCCCUCUACUUUCCUUUCCUAUUUAUCUGAAGGUCAGAGUUACACAGAGAAGAGAGGCAAAGAGAGGUCUUCCAUCCACUGGUUCACUCCCCAGAUGGCCGCAACGGCUACAGUUGCGCCAAUCCAAAGCCAAGAGCCAGGUGCUUCUUCCAGGUCUCCCACACGGGUGCAGGGGCCCAAGGACUGGGGCAUUUUUCACUGCUUUCCCAGGCCAUAGCAGAGGUGGAUAGGAAGCAGAGCGGCCCAGACUCGAACCAGCGCUCAUACGGGAUGCCAGUACUGCAGGCGGUGGCUUCACCCAUUACGCCACAGUGCCGGCCCCCUGUAACUCUUUCAAAUAAAUCUAAAAAAAAAAAAAAAAAAAAAAAAAAA